CUGCGGAAGGAUCAUUACCGAGUGAGGGCCCUCUGGGUCCAACCUCCCACCCGUGUCUAUCGUACCUUGUUGCUUCGGCGGGCCCGCCGUUUCGACGGCCGCCGGGGAGGCCUUGCGCCCCCGGGCCCGCGCCCGCCGAAGACCCCAACAUGAACGCUGUUCUGAAAGUAUGCAGUCUGAGUUGAUUAUCGUAAUCAGUUAAAACUUUCAACAACGGAUCUCUUGGUUCCGGCAUCGAUGAAGAACGCAGCGAAAUGCGAUAAGUAAUGUGAAUUGCAGAAUUCAGUGAAUCAUCGAGUCUUUGAACGCACAUUGCGCCCCCUGGUAUUCCGGGGGGCAUGCCUGUCCGAGCGUCAUUGCUGCCCUCAAGCACGGCUUGUGUGUUGGGCCCCCGUCCCCCUCUCCCGGGGGACGGGCCCGAAAGGCAGCGGCGGCACCGCGUCCGGUCCUCGAGCGUAUGGGGCUUUGUCACCUGCUCUGUAGGCCCGGCCGGCGCCAGCCGACACCCAACUUUAUUUUUCUAAGGUUGACCUCGGAUCAGGUAGGGAUACCCGCUGAACUUAAGCAUAUCAU
RNAcentral lists this ribosomal RNA (573 nucleotides) under Aspergillus fumigatus. RNAcentral describes it as "eukaryotic LSU rRNA". The stretch from base 203 to 356 matches the Rfam family "5.8S ribosomal RNA". Lineage: Eukaryota; Fungi; Ascomycota; Eurotiomycetes; Eurotiales; Aspergillaceae. The record is from RNAcentral.